CCUACGGGAGGCAGCAGUGGGGAAUUUUGGACAAUGGGGGCAACCCUGAUCCAGCCAUUCCGCGUGAGUGAAGAAGGCCUUCGGGUUGUAAAGCUCUUUCGCAAGGGAAGAAAACUUAUGAUCGAAUAAAUCAUGAGGUUGACGGUACCUUGAUAAGAAGCACCGGCUAACUACGUGCCAGCAGCCGCGGUAAUACGUAGGGUGCGAGCGUUAAUCGGAAUUACUGGGCGUAAAGCGUGCGCAGGCGGUUUUGUAAGUCGGAUGUGAAAUCCCCGGGCUCAACCUGGGAACUGCGUUCGAAACUGCAAGGCUAGAGUGUGUCAGAGGGGGGUAGAAUUCCACGUGUAGCAGUGAAAUGCGUAGAGAUGUGGAGGAAUACCAAUGGCGAAGGCAGCCCCCUGGGAUAACACUGACGCUCAUGCACGAAAGCGUGGGGAGCAAACAGGAUUAGAUACCCUGGUAGUCCACGCCCUAAACGAUGUCAACUAGUUGUUGGUAGAGUAAAAUCUAUGAGUAACGUAGCUAACGCGUGAAGUUGACCGCCUGGGGAGUACGGUCGCAAGAUUAAAACCGUGAAAGGUAUUAGACCGGNGUGAGACGUGCGACGGACGACGACGAGGGAGGAGG
RNAcentral lists this ribosomal RNA (627 nucleotides) under uncultured bacterium. RNAcentral describes it as "bacterial SSU rRNA". It matches the Rfam family "Bacterial small subunit ribosomal RNA", at positions 338 to 954 of the family's 1533-position model. The record is from RNAcentral.